RNAcentral lists this ribosomal RNA (274 nucleotides) under uncultured bacterium. RNAcentral's name for it is "partial 16S ribosomal RNA". It matches the Rfam family "Bacterial small subunit ribosomal RNA", at positions 523 to 796 of the family's 1533-position model. The record is from RNAcentral.
AUACGGAGGGUCCAAGCGUUAUCCGGAUUCAUUGGGUUUAAAGGGUUCGUAGGCGGAUAAAUAAGUCAGUGGUGAAAUCCCGAAGCUCAACUUCGGAACUGCCAUUGAAACUGUUUAUCUUGAAUUUAGUUGAAGUGGGCGGAAUAUGACAUGUAGCGGUGAAAUGCAUAGAUAUGUCAUGGAACACCAAUAGUGAAGACAGCUCACUAAGCCAAUAUUGACGCUGAUGAACGAAAGCAUGGGUAGCGAACAGGAUUAGAAACCCCAGUAGUCC